GCCUGAAGGCUAUGUAACUCUGAGGGUGAAUUUGGUUUGGUAAAGAAGUUCCUCACAACUCAUCCAUUUGAUAAGUAACAAAGAGUUAAAAUAAGUUGGCGACACAGUCCUUGCACGGAGAAGUGCCAUGUUAUGAUCGGCAACAGAAAGAUUGAGGUAACAGAGGACAAUUGAUCAGCGUUGUUAGUUCUGUAAGUUGUAACUUAUCUCCUGGAGGAAAAUAAACUCUGGCCUAGGAUGAAGAGUACUAAAAAGGGUUGUGUCUGAUUUGAGCCAAGAUGAGAACACUUGUUUGGGAAGGUCAACACUGGAGUGGACUCUUGGGUGAGGAUGGCGGAUCUAUUUCACUUUUAACUGUGGACCUGUCUCAUCAGGAGCAAGGUUGAUCAAUUCUGCACUGAAGUGGGCUAUUGACUCAGAUUGACUGCACUCCUCCAUAGUGGUUAGGUCAUUCCUGUGGAUGGAUUGUGGAGUGGCUGCUUGUUAUGGAUGGCACAUUAAAGAUCUGCCCUCCAAUUGAAGUGAAGUGAGGCUGAAAAUGUAAAGAAAAAUGGUUUUCUUAACCAAUAUUGACUGAUAAAUGAGACCUGUUUAAAGAUAUCAGGGUCUUCAAGAGUUUGCAUUUGUAAUGACUUAGCCACAAAUCUAUGCACUUUAAUUUUAAGGCCAAUUUAACAGAUGAAUUAUAUUUUUAGCGCGCUUAUGUUCGAUAAACCAUUUAUAAGGGUCAUAAACAGUGCAUAAUGAGAUGAGAUAAACCAUUUGAAUGUUAGAAACAAAGAACUGUUGGUGUAUUAUGCCUUGCAAAGCAUUUAGAAUUUCAGUAAAGUUUCAAUGUUAAUUUACCACUUUCUAGUUUGAUAUGCUUAAAUCAUUUCAACAAUUUUACAUGGAUUAAACUUAGGAUUCUAUGUCUGGCGGAAGAACGAUCCCAAAAAAUGUAAAGCGCGUAGCGUAACAAGGAAGCAUUGAAAACCAACCUAACUCCCUAUCAAUCACAUGUGUAAUUCUCGAGUGGAGCUCAGCUAAAUUUAGAGCUAACAAAUUACAGAGAAGUUUCGCGAACUUGAUUAAGAGUUUUGCUACCAAAUGUGAAGCAAAGUUGCAAUCAAAACGCGUAGCGUAACAAAGAAGCUUUGAAAAAGUUUCAAUCAAAAAUACACUUCAUGUUCGCAUGCUAUUUUUUUACAAAACUCGCAGCUGAUAGAAGUUAGCAAAUGUAACAAGAGGCUUGCUCUCCAGUUUUGAGUAUUCAUGAAAACCCUAAUGAAACUGUUCGCAAUUGUUCGAGUAAAAAGGAACUAGAAUAAACGCAAAAGAAUUUAAAGCGAGCUACAGUAUUUUAGGAGUACAGGAUGCGUAACAAAAAAUUUGAACUUUGAGAUGAUAUCAGGAUUUUUUUUUACGAUGAUAAAAACAAAGGUCAUUAAUUUUUUUUUCCCUUCGAGACGACAGAAACGUUUCAUGAUAGAUUCAGGAUGGUUUAAACUGAAAACUGUUCCCCAAAAAUUAUUUCGUUACCUCGUUACCUGAAAACCUUUCCCGCCAAAUUAAAAAACUAGAAUUUCAAUAAUUUUGUGAAAAAAAAAAUUGAUUCUAAAAGAGGAGAGUAAUGUAGAAAAUAGAGAAACUAACGGUCAAAUUAAGCUGUUUUUUUGGAGAAAGGAAGCAUUUUCUUUGCGGGAAAAAAGAGUCAGAAAACCACUUCGCGCCAAACUUUAGGCACGGUCCUUCGGAAGCUUUUUCUUUGCGGAAAUUUGAUUUGGAAAGAGUGAAUUAAAUUUCGAAACGCAGUCAAAUUUACAAUAUAGAAAAUCAAGUAGGAUAAUUUUUACUAAACAUCCUGUUUGAAAAUGUUUGGACCAUAAAUUAAGCCAAUUUUUUCAUAUAGUUAAAACAGUUUCCUUUGCUAAAAAUGGGUCAGAAAACCGUUUCGCGCCAAAUUUCAAGCACUGUCCUUCGCAAACUUUUUCUAUGGGGAAAGUUGAUUUGGAAAGAGUGGAUUUCAUUCCGAAAGGGCAAAAAAAAAAAAUUCAAUAUUGGUGAAUCAAGUAGGAUAAUUUUUGCUUAACAUGAUAUUUGAAAAGUUUUGGAUCAUAAAUUAAGCCGAUUUUUUUUUCAAGAAAGGAAGCAGUUUCUUUGCCAAAAAAAAAGGGAUCAGAAACCACUUCGCGCCAAAUUUUAAGCACGGUCCUCCGCAAGCUUUUUCUAUGUGAAAAUUUUAUUUGGAAAGAGUAAAUUUAAUACCGAAACGAAGAAAAAUUUGAAAAAUAGGUUUAAUCAAGUAGGACAAUCCUUGCUAAACAUGCUGUUUGAAACUUUUGCGUCAUAAAUUAAGCUUUUUUUUUUUUCGAGAAAGGAAGCAUUUAACUUUGCAAAAAAAGGGUCAGAAAACCAUUUCGCGCCAGAUGUCAAGCAUAGUCCUUCGCAAGCUUUUUCCUUAAGGAAAUUUUAUUUGAAAAGAAUGAAUUUCAUUCCGAAACGAAGUAAAAUUUUCAGUACAGGCUAAUUAACUAGGAUAAUUUUUGCUAAACAUGCUGUUUGAAAAUUUUUGGGAGAGCCUUUCAUUUAUUAAGUUCGUCAUACAAAAAUUUUCUUUAGACAAGCGUUGCAUGCGCAUUAAAGUUUAAAGGAAAUUCCGGCGAAAAAUCAGUGAUAAUUCCUAUAAGUUAGAGAUAGAUGCUCAAAGGUAGAUAGAUGCUUACCUGGAGAUGUUGUCGUUUUUGUUGUUGAAAAAUCGCGAGGGUCGUCAACAGUAAGAGUGAAACCAUGUGCUUGAUUUGGGAGCGACAAUUCAGUCAAUUCUUCUGAAAGAUUUCCCUUGCACUCCACUGAAAAUUACGACCGCAAACAAAAAAAAAACUUUUUAAGUUUAGAUAUUCACGAGGUAUUCUGAGUCAUAAAAUAAUAAAGGAAAAAUUAAAGGACUUACAUCUUGAACAUGACUAAAGGUAGCCGGGAACACGUUAUCUUAACAUACCGGGGUAGGUAACUAAAAACAGAAGUCAAUAAAGAACUAAAGAACACUUA
Long non-coding RNA from Stylophora pistillata, 3030 nucleotides. RefSeq lists it as uncharacterized. Lineage: Eukaryota; Metazoa; Cnidaria; Anthozoa; Scleractinia; Pocilloporidae. The record is from RefSeq and is a predicted model, not a curated record.